RNAcentral lists this ribosomal RNA (420 nucleotides) under uncultured bacterium. RNAcentral's name for it is "bacterial SSU rRNA". It matches the Rfam family "Bacterial small subunit ribosomal RNA", at positions 355 to 774 of the family's 1533-position model. The record is from RNAcentral.
UAAGGAAUAUUGCUCAAUGGGAGAAAUCCUGAAGCAGCAACGCCGCGUGGAGGAUGAAGGGUCUAUGACUUGUAAACUCCUGUAAAGAAGGAAAAAAUUCCCAUUAGAUGGGAGAUGAUGGUACUUCUGGAGAAAGCCCCGGCUAACUACGUGCCAGCAGCCGCGGUAAUACGUAGGGGGCAAGCGUUGUCCGGAUUUACUGGGUGUAAAGGGCGCGCAGGCGGGAUAAAAAGUCAGUGGUGAAAUCCUACAGCUUAACUGUAGAACUGCCUUUGAUACUUUUAUUCUUGAGUUCGGGAGAGAGAGACGGAAUUCCAGGUGUAGUGGUGAAAUACGUAGAUAUCUGGAAGAACACCAGUUGCGAAGGCGGUCUCUUGGUCCGACACUGACGCUGAGGCGCGAAAGCGUGGGGAGCAAACA